CACGCCGUAAACGAUGAGUGCUAGGUGUUGGGAGUCAAAUUUCAGUGCCGCCGCAAACGCAUUAAGCACUCCGCCUGGGGAGUACGUGCACAAGCAUGAAACUCAAAGGAAUUGACGGGGACCCGCACAAGCAGCGGAGCAUGUGGUUUAAUUCGAAGCAACGCGAAGAACCUUACCAGGGCUUGACAUCUACCUGCUAGACUUAGAGAUAAGUCAUUCUCUUCGGAGACGGGUAGACAGGUGG
This 244-nucleotide ribosomal RNA is filed under the name uncultured Eubacteriales bacterium. RNAcentral's name for it is "uncultured Clostridiales bacterium partial 16S ribosomal RNA". It matches the Rfam family "Bacterial small subunit ribosomal RNA", at positions 796 to 1041 of the family's 1533-position model. The record is from RNAcentral. Lineage: Bacteria; Bacillati; Bacillota; Clostridia; Eubacteriales.